Molecule: ribosomal RNA, 759 nt
Filed under: uncultured Gemmatimonas sp.
Lineage: Bacteria; Pseudomonadati; Gemmatimonadota; Gemmatimonadia; Gemmatimonadales; Gemmatimonadaceae
Description: bacterial SSU rRNA
Rfam family: Bacterial small subunit ribosomal RNA
Source: RNAcentral
AGAGUUUGAUCCUGGCUCAGGACGAACGCUGGCGGCGUGCUUAACACAUGCAAGUCACGGGGGCCCGCAAGGGCAACCGGCGAACGGGUGCGUAACACGUGAGCAAUCUGCCGAUUUCUGGGGGAUAGCCGGCCCAACGGCCGGGUAAUACCGCAUACGCUCUUUGCGAGGAGUCUCGUGAAGAGGAAACCUCCGGGGGAAAUCGAGGAGCUCGCGGCCUAUCAGCUAGUUGGCGAGGUAAUGGCUCACCAAGGCGACGACGGGUAGCUGGUCUGAGAGGAUGGCCAGCCACAUUGGGACUGAGAGACGGCCCAGACUCCUACGGGAGGCAGCAGUGGGGAAUCUUGCGCAAUGGCCGAAAGGCUGACGCAGCGACGCCGCGUGGGUGAUGACGGCCUUCGGGUUGUAAAGCCCUUUUCUCGGGGAAGAUGAUGACGGUACCCGAGGAAGAAGCCCCGGCUAACUACGUGCCAGCAGCCGCGGUAAUACGUAGGGGGCGAGCGUUGCCCGGAUUUAUUGGGCGUAAAGGGCGCGUAGGCGGCCAUGUGCGUCACGGGUGAAAUCUCCCGGCUCAACUGGGAGGGGUCCUGUGAUACGGCGUGGCUCGAGCGAGGUAGGGGGUCGUGGAAUUCCCGGUGUAGUGGUGGAAUGCGUAGAGAUCGGGAGAAACACCCGUGGCGAAGGCGGCGACCUGGACCUCGGCUGACGCUAAGGCGCGAAAGCGUGGGGAGCGAUCCGGAUUAGAUACCCCGGUAGUCC